RNAcentral lists this ribosomal RNA (200 nucleotides) under uncultured bacterium. RNAcentral's name for it is "partial 16S ribosomal RNA". It matches the Rfam family "Bacterial small subunit ribosomal RNA", at positions 8 to 200 of the family's 1533-position model. The record is from RNAcentral.
AGAGUUUGAUCCUGGCUCAGGACGAACGCUGGCGGCGUGCCUAAUACAUGCAAGUCGAGCGAAUUCGAUGAGGUGCUUGCACCUCUGAGGGUUAGCGGCGGACGGGUGAGUAACACGUAGGUAACCUGCCUGUAAGACUGGGAUAACUACCGGAAACGGUAGCUAAUACCGGAUAGGCGAGACUCCCGCAUGGGAGAUUC